GAUGAACGCUGGCGGCGUGCCUAAUACAUGCAAGUCGAGCGAACAGACGAGGAGCUUGCUCCUCUGACGUUAGCGGCGGACGGGUGAGUAACACGUGUAUCACCUACCUAUAAGACUGGGAUAACUUCGGGAAACCGGAGCUAAUACCGGAUAAUAUAUUGAACCGCAUGGUUCAAUAGUGAAAGACGGUUUUGCUGUCUCUUAUCGAUGGUUCCGCGCCGCAUUAGCUAGUUGUUAAGGUAACGGCUUACCACGGCAACGAUGCGUAGCCGACCGGAGAGGGUGAUCGGCCACACUGGAACUGAGACACGGUCCAGACUCCUACGGGAGGCAGCAGUAGGGAAUCUUCCGCAAUGGGCGAAAGCUUGACGGAGCAACGCCGCGUGAGUGAUGAAGGUCUUCGGAUCGUAAAACUCUGUUAUUAGGGAAGAACAAAUGUGUAAGUAACUAUGCACGUCUUGACGGUACCUAAUCAGAAAGCCACGGCUAACUACGUG
Molecule: ribosomal RNA, 497 nt
Filed under: uncultured bacterium
Lineage: Bacteria
Description: partial 16S ribosomal RNA
Rfam family: Bacterial small subunit ribosomal RNA
Source: RNAcentral